UGGGGAAUAUUGGACAAUGGGCGCAAGCCUGAUCCAGCCAUGCCGUGUGAGUGAUGAAGGCCCUAGGGUUGUAAAGCUCUUUUGUGCGGGAAGAUAAUGACGGUACCGCAAGAAUAAGCCCCGGCUAACUUCGUGCCAGCAGCCGCGGUAAUACGAAGGGGGCUAGCGUUGCUCGGAAUCACUGGGCGUGAAGCGCGUGCAGGCGGUCUCUUAAGUCUGGUGUGAAAGCCCGGGGCUCACCCCCGGAAGGGCACUGGAGACUGGGAGGCUAGAGUACCGGAGAGGAAGGUGGAAUUCCUGGUGUAGCGGUGAAAUGCGUAGAUAUCAGGAGGAACACCGGCGGUGUAGACGGCUUGCUAGACCAUAACUGACGCUGAGGCACGAAAGCGUGGGUAGCAAACA
Molecule: ribosomal RNA, 402 nt
Filed under: uncultured bacterium
Lineage: Bacteria
Description: bacterial SSU rRNA
Rfam family: Bacterial small subunit ribosomal RNA
Source: RNAcentral